UUAGAGUUUGAUCCUGGCUCAGGAUGAACGCUAGCGGCAGGCUUAACACAUGCAAGUCGAGGGGCAGCGAGAUCAGUGCUUGCACUGAUUGUCGGCGACCGGCGCACGGGUGCGUAACGCGUAUGCAACCUACCCAUUACAGGGGGAUAACACUGAGAAAUCGGUACUAAUACCCCAUAACAUCCAGGGAGGCAUCUUCUUGGGUUGAAAACUCCGGUGGUAAUGGAUGGGCAUGCGUUGUAUUAGUUAGUUGGUGGGGUAACGGCUCACCAAGACAACGAUACAUAGGGGGACUGAGAGGUUAACCCCCCACAUUGGUACUGAGACACGGACCAAACUCCUACGGGAGGCAGCAGUGAGGAAUAUUGGUCAAUGGACGCAAGUCUGAACCAGCCAUGCCGCGUGCAGGAAGACGGCUCUAUGAGUUGUAAACUGCUUUUGUACGAGGGUAAACGCAGAUACGCGUAUCUGUCUGAAAGUAUCGUACGAAUAAGGAUCGGCUAACUCCGUGCCAGCAGCCGCGGUAAUACGGAGGAUUCAAGCGUUAUCCGGAUUUAUUGGGUUUAAAGGGUGCGUAGGCGGUCGGAUAAGUUAGAGGUGAAAUCCCGGGGCUCAACUUCGGAAUUGCCUCUGAUACUGUUCGGCUAGAGAGUAGUUGCGGUAGGCGGAAUGUAUGGUGUAGCGGUGAAAUGCUUAGAGAUCAUACAGAACACCGAUUGCGAAGGCAGCUUACCAAGCUACUUCUGACGUUGAGGCACGAAAGCGUGGGGAGCAAACAGGAUUAGAUACCCUGGUAGUCCACGCAGUAAAC
RNAcentral lists this ribosomal RNA (811 nucleotides) under uncultured bacterium. RNAcentral describes it as "bacterial SSU rRNA". It matches the Rfam family "Bacterial small subunit ribosomal RNA", at positions 1 to 807 of the family's 1533-position model. The record is from RNAcentral.